This 599-nucleotide ribosomal RNA is filed under the name Escherichia coli. RNAcentral describes it as "partial 23S ribosomal RNA". It matches the Rfam family "Bacterial large subunit ribosomal RNA", at positions 2200 to 2798 of the family's 2925-position model. The record is from RNAcentral. Lineage: Bacteria; Pseudomonadati; Pseudomonadota; Gammaproteobacteria; Enterobacterales; Enterobacteriaceae.
CCACCCUUUAAUGUUUGAUGUUCUAACGUUGACCCGUAAUCCGGGUUGCGGACAGUGUCUGGUGGGUAGUUUGACUGGGGCGGUCUCCUCCUAAAGAGUAACGGAGGAGCACGAAGGUUGGCUAAUCCUGGUCGGACAUCAGGAGGUUAGUGCAAUGGCAUAAGCCAGCUUGACUGCGAGCGUGACGGCGCGAGCAGGUGCGAAAGCAGGUCAUAGUGAUCCGGUGGUUCUGAAUGGAAGGGCCAUCGCUCAACGGAUAAAAGGUACUCCGGGGAUAACAGGCUGAUACCGCCCAAGAGUUCAUAUCGACGGCGGUGUUUGGCACCUCGAUGUCGGCUCAUCACAUCCUGGGGCUGAAGUAGGUCCCAAGGGUAUGGCUGUUCGCCAUUUAAAGUGGUACGCGAGCUGGGUUUAGAACGUCGUGAGACAGUUCGGUCCCUAUCUGCCGUGGGCGCUGGAGAACUGAGGGGGGCUGCUCCUAGUACGAGAGGACCGGAGUGGACGCAUCACUGGUGUUCGGGUUGUCAUGCCAAUGGCACUGCCCGGUAGCUAAAUGCGGAAGAGAUAAGUGCUGAAAGCAUCUAAGCACGAAACUUGCC